GCAACCCCAGGUCAGGCGGGACUACCCGCUGAGUU
Molecule: ribosomal RNA, 35 nt
Filed under: Quercus suber
Lineage: Eukaryota; Viridiplantae; Streptophyta; Magnoliopsida; Fagales; Fagaceae
Also listed under: 2 other names
Description: partial 25S ribosomal RNA
Source: RNAcentral